UACAGAGGGUACGAGCGUUGUUCGGAAUUACUGGGCGUAAAGCGCAUGUAGGCGGCAGCGCAAGUCGGGCGUGAAAUCCCACGGCUCAACCGUGGAAGUGCACUCGAAACUGCGCAGCUAGAGUCCUGGAGAGGAAGGUGGAAUGCUUGGUGUAGAGGUGAAAUUCGUAGAUAUCAAGCGGAACACCGGUGGCGAAGGCGGCCUUCUGGACAGUGACUGACGCUGAGAUGCGAAAGCGUGGGGAGCAAACAGG
This 253-nucleotide ribosomal RNA is filed under the name uncultured bacterium. Its description in RNAcentral is "partial 16S ribosomal RNA". It matches the Rfam family "Bacterial small subunit ribosomal RNA", at positions 524 to 776 of the family's 1533-position model. The record is from RNAcentral.